RNAcentral lists this ribosomal RNA (404 nucleotides) under Actinomycetes bacterium. Its description in RNAcentral is "Actinobacteria bacterium partial 16S ribosomal RNA". It matches the Rfam family "Bacterial small subunit ribosomal RNA", at positions 355 to 776 of the family's 1533-position model. Lineage: Bacteria; Bacillati; Actinomycetota; Actinomycetes. The record is from RNAcentral.
UGGGGAAUAUUGGACAAUGGGCGCAAGCCUGAUCCAGCCAUGCCGCGUGAGUGAUGAAGGCCCUAGGGUUGUAAAGCUCUUUCACCGGUGAAGAUAAUGACGGUAACCGGAGAAGAAGCCCCGGCUAACUUCGUGCCAGCAGCCGCGGUAAUACGAAGGGGGCUAGCGUUGUUCGGAUUUACUGGGCGUAAAGCGCACGUAGGCGGACUUUUAAGUCAGGGGUGAAAUCCCGGGGCUCAACCCCGGAACUGCCUUUGAUACUGGAAGUCUUGAGUAAGGGAGGGGUGAGGGGAAUUUCGAGUGUAGAGGUGAAAUUCGUAGAUAAUCGGAAGAACACCAGUGGCGAAGGCGGCUCACUGGACCAUUACUGACGCUGAGGUGCGAAAGCGUGGGGAGCAAACAGG